Molecule: non-coding RNA, 2025 nt
Organism: Pocillopora verrucosa
Lineage: Eukaryota; Metazoa; Cnidaria; Anthozoa; Scleractinia; Pocilloporidae
Source: RefSeq, a predicted model, not a curated record
GGUUAUUUUCGUCUCAAAGCCCCUCACGGUUUCAAAAUGGCGAAUUAUCGUGGGACACUCGUUAAAUCAUAUCUCUUGUGACUCGUCCUGGUUCAGCCCUGACACUGGCCAACGCUCUUCGGAAUCAUGUUUUUCAGGGUGUCACCUCUGCAUGUUGAUAUUGUUAUUGAUUUGAACGUGAAAGCUGCCUCAUCAAACGUUCUCACAGUUGUGCGUUUUACUCCCCUUAACUAUACAACAGAUGCACGUGAAGUCAUAGACUGACUUUUAUUUUGUAUUAGUUAACUCCAAGGAACAAGCGGAACGAAAACAUCGUCAUGUUGAUGUUUCAGGGAAGGAGAAGGUGGUGACGACGAGGAGCUGCCGGAGGAAGAGUCUGCAGCUUUUAGAAAUGUGAAUUUUCAGGAAAUUCUGAUCUGUCUGAGUCAGAGCAUCUGCUGUAUUUAUCACUCUUCAGGGGAACAAGCCCCUAAAACUCAGUGCUACGGUUCAGGCUCAGUAAAACACAUGCACGCAUCAUAUCUGUUGAAAUGGUUCAAACAAGAGGUAAAGAAAACUUGUGAAUUGUGCCAUUUAAGUGAUAUCAAGAAAAAGGGCAAACCAUAUAUGCUGAGAUUUUCACAUUUAUAGACUGCCAAGUUAAGAUACAUGCAACCUAGCUAAAGAAUUAUUGGCAUAUUUCCAGAAUUCCACAUUUCCAGACUACUGAGAUAAAUGUGAUGAAUUUGAUGUGUAGCACAUUCCAUUGUGAUGACGUGUUCUGUGCUCUUCUACCCCAAGUUAAAGCGCAAUUUGUUUAUAUUGAGACAAAGAACUCCUAACAAUAAUUGCAGAUGAGCAUGUCUUAAUCCUUUACUUCUUGGAAGUGAUUAACAUGUAGCUUCUCCUUGUUGUAUUCAUACAUUUUCCAGCACAAAGGUAAUGAGAAUACCUUCAAGUUUUAAUCUUGAUCUAACUUCAAAUUCUCAAAACUAAUUUACAAUGAAAUGUAUAGCAGCUGCAAGGGAGAAGUAGCAUUCAGUCCUUGGAAGUUAAUGGGUUAUAAGCCUCAGAGAACAGAAAGUAUUAUGGUUAUAGUUGUUACGAAUACUUAAGAUUAAAAUUGUUAGUAGGUGACAGAUUCACAUGUUCAUGUAAAUAGGGUAUUGAAUAUUUGUUAACUUGUGAAAGAAGCUUGAUUAAAAAUAGGGUCAAGCAAUUUUUCAUUGUGUGUUAACCCUUUAAGCCUUUCACUCCCAUGAGUGACCAAGACAGAAUUUCUCCUUACAAUAUCAAUACAAUAUCAAGCAGACAAGUGAUGGGAUUGAAGAAAAUAUCAGCUAGGGGAAGGGGAAGGGGAUUAUUAGUUGAUCCAAUACCAAAUUCUCAAAACUAAACAUGCAUAUUAUGAAAAAACUAAACAUGAUUGUGUAUGAUGAAAAUUUGGACCAGAAUUUUCAAUAUCUGGUUGGGCAUUUAUUUGAGGUAAUAAGCUAUUUUCAUUUAAUUUUUUAAAGAUGUUUUAUUUCUGGUUUAAGACAGGGUGUGGAAUUUUGGUCUAGGUUUAAAAUAGGGUUGGAAUAAUUUUGUAUUUCAACCUAAGGCAGGGCAACAGUUGAUUUUAAGAAGGGUGCUAUCUCUGCUAAAGAAAAGGUACCGCUGAAAAAAGCCUCUAUUUGAGCUGUUCAUGUUUCUCAGAUAAAUUAUUUAUACUUUUGUUUGAUAUUGAGAAGGCUUUACCAACCCCUCCUUCCCCUGCCCCACCCCCAUUGUCUUCCUUUGUCCAAUUUUUGUUUUGUUUCAAAACUUUUUGUAAAGCUCUUUACUCUGUCUGAUAUGUCUAACCAUAGGGGCUGAAUUGAUAGCAACACAAAGAAUAAAUCUGCUUACAUGAUUUAUUCAACAAUCAUCUGAUAAACUUAGGAGUUCUGCUCUUAUCUACAAAUACUAGUCAGUGAAAUCUCAACUGUCAGAGUUUUUCAUUUCAUCAUGGUAAUAGUAACAGGCAAAAAAUAUGUGCAAAAACACUCCAAUAUUUAAAGCUAC